Molecule: long non-coding RNA, 590 nt
Organism: Lactuca sativa (garden lettuce)
Lineage: Eukaryota; Viridiplantae; Streptophyta; Magnoliopsida; Asterales; Asteraceae
Source: RefSeq, a predicted model, not a curated record
AGGGACUUAAUAUGAAAAUGGCAUUAAAAAUCCCAUGUAUUACAUUGGACGUGAUUAAGGGGCUUUAUGAGGAUCAGCCGUUUUGAUGUCUUGGGGCCAUAUUAAUCGAUCAAAAUAAAUUUCCCCAAUUGUUUAUGUUGUGUGUCAAGUAGCAAGGAAAAAAAACGAUCAAUCAUAUUUGGGCGUGAAGUAGUCAUCGACGAUUGCUAGGAAAGAAAAAGAAGAAAACCAAACGUGAAGGAGAGGGGAAAAAGGGUUGCGAGUUUUGUGAGUCAAUUUGGGGCUAGGAAUCGUCCUUGGGGCAAGGGUGAUACUUCAACCAAUACAAUAUUUGAAGUGUGAGUUGAUCACAUUUUUGGCAAAGGUAGCUUGACAUGAUGCCUUGGUGAGGAUGGGAGCUUUUGGGUAGUCUUAGUUAGUAUCUUUAGUUAUGAUACCAUUUAAACAUGUUGGGUUUUCAUCAUUACGUUUUUGUGAACUUUAAAUUUAGAUGGGUUUGUUUUUACAUGAAAGUAACAUUGGUGAUGUUUUUGAAAUAAACAUAAUAAGUAUUCCGCAACGUAUUCUGUUAAAUAAUGUUUUACAAAUAA